This is a long non-coding RNA of Hyla sarda, 670 nucleotides long. RefSeq lists it as uncharacterized. Lineage: Eukaryota; Metazoa; Chordata; Amphibia; Anura; Hylidae. The record is from RefSeq and is a predicted model, not a curated record. The transcript is spliced from 3 exons.
AGUCGGUCACAUGACUGGGGAUGGGACUAGCGGUCCUUGGACUCUGCAAUGCUUCUUCUUCUUCUUCUUUCCUCAGUCUUCGCACCAGGAAUGCUUUAUCUGCUAUUUGCUAAAAUGCAACAAAAAAAGUUGGAUACAUGAACCACGUUGACUACCGCCUUAGGCUAGGUUCACACUACCGCUAGGCUCUGUCCCGUAGGCUAUUUUUUUUUUUUUAUAACCUAAUGGACCCUGAACAGGUCGAAGCACAACGGGUCCCGACGGAUCACAUUGAUGGGGUCCAUCAGGUGUCCGUUAUUUUGGAGAAGGUAGUGGGGCAAAAAUAAACUGCUUAAUUAAAUAAAGAGGUGCAGGGAUCAAACACCACACCCUCAGCCAGAGGAUUCAUGAGAAAUAUAAGAACCAUUACAGAACCACUUCAGUGUGGAAUUGCUACUGGUAUGGGGCCUAUCCCAUGCCUGCUUCAUCAGCUACAACAGACAAGUGAUCCUUCAGCUGCUCCACAUCUAGUUCAUUCUGUCGGACACGGGAGACAUAGCAGAAGGUGAUGAAGAGGAAGAUGAGGUUGAGAAGCGGCAGCAGCGGAGCGUAGAACAUCCCCCCCCACACUACCGUCUGACCGUACACUGUGUCCAGAACAUUCUGGGAUAGCAGGAAUUUCUCCUUCCCA